GUGGGGAAUAUUGGACAAUGGGCGCAAGCCUGAUCCAGCAAUGCCGCGUGCAGGAAGAAGGCCUUCGGGUUGUAAACUGCUUUUGUACGGAACGAAACGGUCCGGGUUAAUACCCUGGGCUAAUGACGGUACCGUAAGAAUAAGCACCGGCUAACUACGUGCCAGCAGCCGCGGUAAUACGUAGGGUGCAAGCGUUAAUCGGAAUUACUGGGCGUAAAGCGUGCGCAGGCGGUUUUGUAAGACAGGCGUGAAAUCCCCGGGCUCAACCUGGGAAUUGCGCUUGUGACUGCAAGGCUGGAGUGCGGCAGAGGGGGAUGGAAUUCCGCGUGUAGCAGUGAAAUGCGUAGAUAUGCGGAGGAACACCGAUGGCGAAGGCAAUCCCCUGGGCCUGCACUGACGCUCAUGCACGAAAGCGUGGGGAGCAAACAGGAUUAGAAACCCCAGUAGUCC
This 450-nucleotide ribosomal RNA is filed under the name uncultured bacterium. Its description in RNAcentral is "partial 16S ribosomal RNA". It matches the Rfam family "Bacterial small subunit ribosomal RNA", at positions 354 to 796 of the family's 1533-position model. The record is from RNAcentral.